UCAAGAAAGAGGUAGGGGAAGGAGGCAUAGGGCUGUGCUUCCUGGGUUCAGUCCCCAGUGCUUGGCAUGGGAGGCAGGGUAUUGCUUGUUAAACUGAAUUUAAACUCACAGAAAACAACCCUAAAUGAGAGGCCUAUCUUAAGGAAGUGAACAGAGGUGACCAGGUGAGAUCCAGGCCAGCAGGCCUUGGUCAGCUCUAACCCUGGCUCUGUUCCCUGUUUGCAGUGUGAUCUCAGCAAGAAGGCCUUGCCAGAUGAUGCCCUUAUAUCUUGGACUUCCCAGCUUCCAGAACUCUGACAAGGUGACCAGAAUGGCUGCCGUGGUCUCCCCACAGCACCAAGCCUUCUACCGCCACUGGGGGCCAGGUCAGGCUGUGGCCCCUGAGAGCAGCCUGGCUCCAGAACCCCUCAGGAAGAGUCUCACCAGAGAAAGGCCUCUCCUGGGUGCCAUGGAGUGACAGCGAGCUUCACAGAGAAGAGGCUUGAUGUGCGAUAGAAAAGGAAGACCACAUCACAAGAAGAGGAACAGCAAACCUUCAGGCACGAGGAUUUCAAGGAACACACCCAUGAUGAUACUGGACCAGACUGAAAGAGCCCAGGGGAUGUCACUAGCCUCACAACAACCCUGUAGGGGCCACAUGGGAAAGACUUGGUGCAAGAGGGACCAGGCGCUUUCCUUUCAAGUACAGUCCAAGAUGGAGGUUUCAAACAGCCAUACUUGGGGAGCUGACGUAUAAAUUUCAGUCUCAGGGUACAUUGCAGGCCAUAGUCCUUGAAGGAGACUCUGAUUGGGUCCCCAGGUCCUUUAGUCCAAUAUUGAGCUCUCCUAUUGGACAAUUCCCCACACCAUACUUCUCUUUGACAUCUUGAGCCAAUUAGCUGAGGCAAGGCUGAGGGGUCACCUUGGGAGGUGCCAUUUUCCAGAACUUCUAGAACUCUUGAAGUUUAUACCUUGAACAGACUCAUUUACUAGAGAUACUCUAGUUCUCACACAUGCCCAUAUUUAUGAGGCUAGAAUGGUGUCCAUAGCCCUGGAGCAGGUUUUGUGUGUCUAGCAGUCUGACCCACCUCAGGACUAAGGAGGAGACUCACCU
Non-coding RNA from Heterocephalus glaber (naked mole-rat), 1093 nucleotides. The record is from RefSeq and is a predicted model, not a curated record. NCBI's taxonomy places the organism in Eukaryota, Metazoa, Chordata, Mammalia, Rodentia, Bathyergidae.